Molecule: non-coding RNA, 103 nt
Organism: Chelonoidis abingdonii (Abingdon island giant tortoise)
Lineage: Eukaryota; Metazoa; Chordata; Testudines; Testudinidae
Source: RefSeq, a predicted model, not a curated record
GGUGUGUGUGUCUGAUCUCUGGUAAGCAUGUGUGUAGUUUCUUUUGUUGUUUUAAUAUGUUUUAUCUGUAAUGCUUUUACCUUAAGAAUAAAUGUGCUUGUUU